This 72-nucleotide transfer RNA is filed under the name Pangasianodon gigas (Mekong giant catfish). RNAcentral's name for it is "tRNA-Glu". The record is from RNAcentral. Lineage: Eukaryota; Metazoa; Chordata; Actinopteri; Siluriformes; Pangasiidae.
UCCCUGGAGGACUAGGGGUUAGGCCUCAGCGCUCUCAUCAUUGUGGCCCGGGAUCGAUUCCCAGCCAGGGAA